Molecule: long non-coding RNA, 256 nt
Organism: Myxocyprinus asiaticus (Chinese sucker)
Lineage: Eukaryota; Metazoa; Chordata; Actinopteri; Cypriniformes; Catostomidae
Exons: 4
Source: RefSeq, a predicted model, not a curated record
CAGAUAAAUACUUCAUUAUUACUUCACCUCAUGUCACUUAAUAUUUUUCCUUUUAGCAGAUGAGCAAGUUGAUUGCAGGCCCUUCAAUGAAAUGCCACUAGAUGGAAGAAAUGGAAGUACUGGUAAAUGUUGCCGUUGCCAUUUCCACACUGGCCAACUGUAUAUCAGAAAAGCCCAUCAGAGGGACAUUUCUUAGGUUCACUCACAUAUGGUCAGAGAAUGAAAUCUCCUUAAUCAAGGCAGAUAAUAAAAGGCA